RNAcentral lists this long non-coding RNA (3688 nucleotides) under Diabrotica virgifera virgifera (western corn rootworm). RNAcentral's name for it is "uncharacterized LOC126884918". Lineage: Eukaryota; Metazoa; Arthropoda; Insecta; Coleoptera; Chrysomelidae. The record is from RNAcentral.
UUAAUUUACUACUGCUAAUAUAUAACUCUAUGUAUUAAUAAUAUAUAUUACAAUAAUAAUUAUAUUAUUAUAAUUAUUAUAAUAAUUAUAUUAUUAUAUGUACGUGUAAAAUAUUAUGUGCUGUGAAUGUGAUAUUAUUUUCUUAAAUCAAUAAAAUGGAAAUAAAGCAAGCAGAUAAUAAUUUUUACAAAGAAGAAUGUAAAAUUAAAAUCGAAAAUUCUGGACAACCUGUGUGAUGCUGUAAUAGUUCCUAUUCUGUUAAAACUUUAAAACUGAGAUAGAGUGGAGACUGUAGAGUCUUUAAAACUGAUAAAAGUAGUUAUUUCUAUGGUGGAAAUUUUUUGGACCAAAUAAAUAGUGAAGACAUCAAAUAAAAGGAGGAUAGAUAAUUCAUGUCGAAAAUGAUUUUCUUCAUAAUAAAUGAAGAACUGAAGUUAUUGUAAAACCAGUGGCUGGACAUUCUCCUGUCAAGAAGAACAACCCAUUAGCAAGUGUGCAAAAGAAACAAUGAAAUUGUGAAAUUUGUUUUAGGUUAUUUACCUGUGUAGAUUAUUUGAAAAAACAUUUAAAGGCCCCGUCUCACCAUCAAAUAAUUGACAGUUAUUUGAUCAAACUUGACAGUUAGUGACACAAAGUGACAGUUAGUAUGUAUAGUUUGUGUCACUAACUGUCAAGUUUGAUCAAAUAACUGUCAAUUAUUUGAUGGUGAGAUGGGGCCUUAAGAGCACACACUGGAGAAAAACCUUAUCAAUGUGAAAUCUGCGUUAAGCAAUUUUCUCUAAAUUCUCGUCUAAAUCGACAUAAAUAUAUGAUAGUUCAUACUCGGGAAAAAUCUCACAAAUGUGAAAUCGUUUACCACUGCGUGUCAUAUGAAAGCACAUUUUAGAACCCACAGUGGUAAAAAACCUUAUGUUUGUCUUCUUUGUUUUUAUACCCUCAAUCAGAUUGUAAAUAGUAUUCUUUUAAAUGUACUUUAGUUCAUCCUCAUUUUUUCAUAUUUUCAUUUUUAAUUUGUCACAUGUACCGCAUGUGAUAUUUUUCUUUAUGUUUCUUCAUACUGAUAAUCAGGCUGUAAAACAUGUUUUCAUAUAUUUUACAAUUAAUAAAAUUAUCUGGAUACAUCUUCUAAGCUUCAUAAAUAUGUAACAGUGAGAGUGUAGAGUGAAGGUAAAUAUUUCCUUGAUGACUGCCUUCUUUUCAUAUUUAUUCAUUUCAAAAUUUGUUUUUUUACACAUUCUUCAAUUUUCAGUUAUUAUAAUAAAAUAAUGUUAUUAGUUAAUUCAAACACACACUUUUAUUUUGCAAUAAUAAUCACAACGAUGACACAACACUGUAGACUAAUUUAUAGGUUGUGUAUGUUAAGUUGGUUGCUUAUUACAUUAAAAUCUAACCAUUAAUAAGAGUACAAAUCAAGUUGUCUCAUUAUUCACUAAUAGAUAAACUGAUAUAGGCUGUACCAAAAGGAAUAUGUUGACAUAUCCCUUUGUACACUAAACUUUCUAUACUAUUUUGUAAGUACCUCUUUUGGAACAAUCAACCUAACAUACAAUUUUUAGCUACAAUGGCUUGUCCCCUUUUACCAACUUGGAAUGGCGGCUCAUUUUCUUCUUCUGCCAUAAGUUCGCUAUAGUACUCAUGCCAUCUUCGUGUUUGCUCUUCUGUUGUUGUAAGCAGUUGUCCUUGUUUUUCUUUUAGUGGUGUGUCACUGUUGACAUUCUUAUUUGCAAGAUGUUUAGUGGUUUUAUAUAGCUCUCUCUGAUUAUUUGUUUCGGCUACCUCUUCUGCUAAGCGUGCCAUCUCUGUCCAUUCUCUUUUGUAAUUCCCAGCACUCUUUUACUUGUCGUAAUUCUCCUAAUUACUUUUACUUGUCCUAAUUCUCAUAAUUCCUUUUAUUUGUUUAUUUAUAUCUGCAUACUCUUGGGUUAUUCUGAUUUUAUCUUCUAAUUUUUGUAUUCUAUUUAGUUCGGCCUUUAAAUCCUUUCUCUUUUUUAUCAGUUGCCAUGUGUUCCUAGCCACUCUGUUUUCUUUUCUCAGUUGUAGCCCAACACUUCUUGUGCGGUUUGGUGUACAGCCUCUUUGAUCAUCUCCCAUUUGUUUGAUAUAUUUGUCUGUAUGUUGUUUACAGUUUCUGUGUUCAACUUUAUUUUGUUACUCCACAUUUUUUGGGUUUCACUGUCUUUCAGUUGUUGUAUAUUAUCUUCGUUUGUUAUAUUGUUUACUCCCUCUUUUGGCCUUGAUUUUUACUUUUAUUUCCGCUAUUAGUAGGUAAUGAUGACUUCCUACAUCUGCUGAUCUUUUAUUUCGUACACCUAGAAGGAUACUUCUCCAUUUUUUAUUAAUUAAGAUGUGGUCUAUGUGAUUUUGCGUUUUAUUAUUUGGUGAGAUCCAGGUUAUUUUGUGGCAGUCUUUGUGUGAGAAAAACGUUCCUCCAAUGACAACAUUGUUUUUAGGCUAAGUUCUAUAAAUUUCUCUCCAUUGUUGUUUCUUUUCGCUAGUCCAUAUGUUCCCAUGCAUUUUGCCACUCCCUUAUUGUCUUUGCCAACUUUCGUGUUCAGAUCUCCCAUGACUAUGAGUAUAUCUCCUUUGGUCAGCUUUCCGAUAGUAUCUGUUAAUUGUUGGUAGAAAUUGUCUUUCUCAUCUUCUGUAGGUGCGUAACAUUGAAUAAUGGUUUAAUAACAAUAAUAAAUUUAAUAAUAAUAAAUAAAUUGAGGAGAAAUCUGUAAAUUUAUUAAGAUUAGAUAACAACAGAAGCUAAAUAUUUCAUUACUUACAACUAAUUAAUAUAAAUUUUCUAAAAAUAUCUUGAACAUUGACUUACUACAUACCAAUUGGAUUUAUUUUGACAUAUUUGGGAAUUAUAGUAACUGGAAUAAUUUUUAUUUCAAUAGAAUUAACUAUUUCAAAUGGGAAAUAAGCCACAAUUUAACUAAAAAAUGGUUUUAAUAACGUUUUGACGUCCACAUCGGAUUUCGAUGUCAAAAACAAAAUAUUAAUGUUUAAUUAAUAUUUUGUAAUACCAUUUAAUAUUUUGUAUUUUGAUAACGACGUCCGAUGCGGAUGUUGUAACGAUAAUAAAAUCAUUUUUUUAUUAAAAUUGGGGCUUAUUUCCAAUUUAGAAUAGUUAAUUACAAAAAUGCCACAAGGAAAUGGCGUGAGAACAACAUUUUAAUAAAACGUUAUCUAACAUUGAUUUUUUUAGUGAACAGGUCAAAGUAAACAAGAGAAAGUAUUUACAAUUUUUUUUAAGGUGUAAAGGUACUAUUAAUACUAGAAAAUAAUAAAACAGAUUUCUCCUGAAGAAGUUUCUCCAGAUGUUGGUAUUUUGGAGGUUACUCAUCUCGUCAAAAGUAGUAGAUAUUCGUUGCUGCUUUUGAGAAUAGGGCAGUUCUCACAUCCUCACAUGAAAAUUCUUAGUGGGGAAAAACCUCACAAAUGUGAUUUUUUCUAAGCAGUAUACUACUGCAACUCAUUUGAAAUUACUUUGAAAAAAUAAUGUGAAUUUGAUUUAAUAUUCUUACUAGUAUGGUUUGAAGUGGUCUUAAAACCGUUUAAGAACACACUGAAGGAAAACCAUAUGAAUGUGCGUGGAAGAAAUGUGCUGUAAAAUUUAAAGAUAGUGACAUGAAAGUUCUUGCUUAGAUUUCCCAGAUUUUUAAUAAAGAAUAAAAAAAUUAUAAACAGCUAUUAA